RNAcentral lists this microRNA (22 nucleotides) under Blattella germanica (German cockroach). RNAcentral's name for it is "Bge-Mir-315_3p* (star (passenger))". The record is from RNAcentral. Lineage: Eukaryota; Metazoa; Arthropoda; Insecta; Blattodea; Blattellidae.
CUUUCGAGCAAUAAUCACAAUC